Molecule: ribosomal RNA, 447 nt
Filed under: uncultured bacterium
Lineage: Bacteria
Description: bacterial SSU rRNA
Rfam family: Bacterial small subunit ribosomal RNA
Source: RNAcentral
UGGGGAAUUUUGGGCAAUGGGCGAAAGCCUGACCCAGCAACGCCGCGUGAAGGAUGAAGUAUUUCGGUAUGUAAACUUCGAAAGAAUAGGAAGAAUAAAUGACGGUACUAUUUAUAAGGUCCGGCUAACUACGUGCCAGCAGCCGCGGUAAUACGUAGGGACCAAGCGUUGUUCGGAUUUACUGGGCGUAAAGGGCGCGUAGGCGGCAAUUCAAGUCAUCUGUGAAAUCUCCGGGCUUAACUCGGAACGGUCAGAUGAUACUGCUUUGCUAGAGUGCAGAAGGGGCAAUCGGAAUUCUUGGUGUAGCGGUGAAAUGCGUAGAUAUCAAGAGGAACACCUGAGGUGAAGACGGGUUGCUGGGCUGACACUGACGCUGAGGCGCGAAAGCCAGGGGAGCAAACGGGAUUAGAUACCCACGUAGUCCCUGAGCGGGCUGGCAAGGCGCAU